CCAGUCUAGAGGCGUGUUCUCUGAAAAAUGUAAACAUUGCCAUUUCUCAGAAAAGGUAAUGUUUUACACUGUCAGAUAAGAUGUAUGCACCAAAACCACUUUUUUGAGUUGUGCUCAAUGUGUCACUUUAAGACAGCCUCUCAACUGCUCAGCAAGCAGUGCUUCUACAGCUAUUAAUAGUUCAGCAGCGAUGUUGAUUUGUGUAUGGUGCUAGAGUGUAGCAAAAUUACAUUGAAGACCAAUACCACUCCUGGAAUCUCCCUCUAAUUUUAUUUUGGCACCUUCCUUAAAGGAACACUAUAGGGUCAUGAACACAAACAUGUAUUCCUGACUCUGUAGUAUUAAAACCACCAUCUAGCCCCCCUGACCAUCUGCCUCCCCUAAAUAUAGCAAAAUCUUACCUUUA
Non-coding RNA from Pelobates cultripes (western spadefoot toad), 406 nucleotides. Lineage: Eukaryota; Metazoa; Chordata; Amphibia; Anura; Pelobatidae. The record is from the annotation of a GenBank genome assembly.